CGGGACUGACGGGGCUCGAACCCGCAGCUCCG
This 32-nucleotide transfer RNA is filed under the name Citrus maxima (pomelo). RNAcentral describes it as "partial tRNA-Asp". RNAcentral also lists the same sequence under 3 other names. The record is from RNAcentral. Lineage: Eukaryota; Viridiplantae; Streptophyta; Magnoliopsida; Sapindales; Rutaceae.